Long non-coding RNA from Cyprinus carpio (common carp), 1145 nucleotides. The record is from Ensembl. NCBI's taxonomy places the organism in Eukaryota, Metazoa, Chordata, Actinopteri, Cypriniformes, Cyprinidae.
GUUAAACACAAAAGAAAAUAUUAUGAAGAAUAUUGGAAUCCAAACAGCUGACGGUAGCCAUUGACUUCCAUAGUAUGGAAACAAAUACUAUAGAAGUCAAUGGCUACCGUCAACAUUCUUCGAAAUGUCUUCUUUUGUGUUCAGCAGAGGAAAGAAACGCAUACAGGUGGCGAAGAGUAAAUGAUGGCAGAUUAUAUUAUGUGUGUUAUGUUUAUGAAAAUAAUUCUUGGUUAUGCGAACUUUAAGAGAACGUUCCAUUUUAUCAUUUUGCAGACAUUAUGAGAACGGUACUUUUGAAUGCUCUCUGAACAUUCUGAAAGAAUUAGUUACAUUUAACAAAUGUUAGACAAACUUAAAUCUCUCAACAUUCCAAAAAUAUAUAAAUAAUGUUUUUGUGCUAACGCUAUGAGAGCAUUAUUAAAGAUCAGAUAACUUUAAAUGAAUUUUCUAUUAAUGUUACUGGAAGAUUGUUUGCUGGGAUAUAUUGAGAUUAUUGACUGCUCUCUCUCUCAUCUGUUUCAGGGCCGUUAAUGUCUUCCUUACUCACUAAUGUCUUUCUCUCGGUGUGAACAGAUCCCCGGGGAGACGACACGCAAGCCUGCGGACAAUGCUUGCGGUCCAUCAAUGGGUCUCUGGGGUCUCUGGGAGUCUCUGACGUGCUCAAGUGCAGCUUUCUCCAGCAGCUACGGAGACGUUCUUCAGAUUCAUACUGUAGUCUUGAGCGUGCGUUGCAUCAUUCUGUGCUGCUGAACUGAAUACCCACAAUCCUUCAAGGCACAAGAUUGGGCCCAAACAGAAACGGAGAGUAACGUUUGUGAAAGCUGCAUCAGUGUUCAAUAUUCAUAGAACUAGCACAAAAAGUUCUACUAAGUGGAGAAAUCAUGUAGAACUUCCUUCACAGAGGAACAGAAGCUCCUGUCCUUCCUCUCAUCUGUUCAUCUCCACAGGUUUAUUAACUGAAGGAGUGAGAGAAUUGCAUGUUGAUAUAGUGAAUACACACACACACACACACACACACACACUUUUCUCUGCUUAAGUGAUUCUGUUCUCUUUAUAACCUCCAGUGACGCGUCUGUUGUAAAUGUAGUGCUGGAGAUGAAAACAGUCAAAAUAAAUAUAAUAAAUAAUAAAUAAUGUUAAUAAAA